AGUGAACGCUGGCGGUAGGCCUAACACAUGCAAGUCGAACGGCAGCACAGUAAGAGCUUGCUCUUACGGGUGGCGAGUGGCGGACGGGUGAGGAAUACAUCGGAAUCUACUUUUUCGUGGGGGUUAACGUAGGGAAACUUACGCUAAUACCGCAUACGACCUACGGGUGAGAGCAGGGGAUAUUCGGACCUUGCGCGAUUGAAUGAGCCGAUGUCGGAUUAGCUAGUUGGCGGGGUAAAGGCCCACCAAGGCGACGAUCCGUAGCUGGUCUGAGAGGAUGAUCAGCCACACUGGAACUUAGACACGGUCCAGACGCCUACGGGAGGCAGCAGUGGGGAAUAUUGGGCAAUGGGCGCAAGCCUGAUCCAGCCAUACCGCGUGGGUGAAGAAGGCCUUCGGGUUGUAAAGCCCUUUUGUUGGGAAAGAAAAGCAGCAGGUUAAUACCCCGCUGUUCUGACGGUACCCAAAGAAUAAGCACCGGCUAACUUCGUG
This 492-nucleotide ribosomal RNA is filed under the name uncultured bacterium. Its description in RNAcentral is "partial 16S ribosomal RNA". It matches the Rfam family "Bacterial small subunit ribosomal RNA", at positions 29 to 507 of the family's 1533-position model. The record is from RNAcentral.